RNAcentral lists this ribosomal RNA (378 nucleotides) under Triticum aestivum (bread wheat). Its description in RNAcentral is "partial small subunit ribosomal RNA". The record is from RNAcentral. Lineage: Eukaryota; Viridiplantae; Streptophyta; Magnoliopsida; Poales; Poaceae.
AUGAAAAUCGUCAGUUGGAACUGUCGGGGACUCGGGAAUGGCCAGGCAGUUCAAGGCCUCCUCGAUAUGGGGAGGACAGAGGAUCCUGAUAUUGUGUUUGCGGAAACCAGACUUUCUGAGGUGGAGCUUGAUAGGUUUAGGUGGUCGCUGGGGUUAGCUAACAUGGUUGCAUGGAACCCGGUGGGACGGAGCAGGGGAGUUGCUUUGUUUUGGAGGAGGGGGGUGGAUGUCUCGCUUAGAUCGUACGAUAGAAGACAUGUAGAUGUGGAUGUUCUAGAGGACGGUGGAGGGAUAUGGAGGCUGACUGGAGUGUACGGAGAGUCGGCAACGGAUCAGAAGAAAGAAACAUGGCGCAUGAUCAGGUUGUUGGGGCAGUAG